UGGGGAAUAUUGCGCAAUGGGGGCAACCCUGACGCAGCCAUGCCGCGUGUGUGAAGAAGGCCUUCGGGUUGUAAAGCACUUUCAAUGGGGAAGAAAAGCGUAGCGUUAAUAGCGUUGCGCCGUGACGUUACCCAUAGAAGAAGCACCGGCUAACUCCGUGCCAGCAGCCGCGGUAAUACGGAGGGUGCGAGCGUUAAUCGGAAUUACUGGGCGUAAAGCGCGCGUAGGCGGUUUGUUAAGUCAGCUGUGAAAGCCCCGGGCUUAACCUGGGAACUGCAGUUGAUACUGGCCGACUAGAGUACGAGAGAGGGAGGUAGAAUUCCAUGUGUAGCGGUGAAAUGCGUAGAUAUAUGGAGGAAUACCGGUGGCGAAGGCGGCCUCCUGGCUCGAUACUGACGCU
RNAcentral lists this ribosomal RNA (400 nucleotides) under uncultured bacterium. RNAcentral describes it as "bacterial SSU rRNA". It matches the Rfam family "Bacterial small subunit ribosomal RNA", at positions 355 to 747 of the family's 1533-position model. The record is from RNAcentral.